GGGUGAGAAAGCUGUCCAAAAGAAGCCGGCGAAAAAAGUGCCCGGAAGUGGGCUCACGCGCGCGGCGCGUGUGGGGAAGCGGCGGCGCGUGGGCGGCGCGUGGGCGCGCGUGCUGUGGUUUCCGGCGACGAAAUUUUCAGAAAAUGUGCGCCAGACACUGUGUGUCACAAUGGUGUGGGAGGUGAGUCCAAGAAACUCCCG
RNAcentral lists this long non-coding RNA (201 nucleotides) under Nicotiana benthamiana. RNAcentral's name for it is "long non-coding RNA (NBEN_LNC030512)". The record is from RNAcentral. Lineage: Eukaryota; Viridiplantae; Streptophyta; Magnoliopsida; Solanales; Solanaceae.